RNAcentral lists this ribosomal RNA (451 nucleotides) under uncultured bacterium. RNAcentral describes it as "partial 16S ribosomal RNA". It matches the Rfam family "Bacterial small subunit ribosomal RNA", at positions 28 to 507 of the family's 1533-position model. The record is from RNAcentral.
GAUGAACGCUGGCGGCGUGCCUAACACAUGCAAGUCGAGCGGCAGCGAGGGGUGCUUGCACCCUGUCGGCGAGCGGCGGACGGCUGAGUAACGCGUGGGAACGUGCCCCAAAGUGAGGAAUAACUGCCCGAAAGGGUAGCUAAUACCGCAUAUUAUCUUCGGAUCAAAGGAUUUAUCCGCUUUGGGAGCGGCUCGCGUCGGAUUAGGUAGUUGGUGAGGUAAUGGCUCACCAAGCCGACGAUCCGUAGCUGGUCUGAGAGGAUGACCAGCCAGACUGGAACUGAGACACGGUCCAGACUCCUACGGGAGGCAGCAGUGAGGAAUCUGCCACAAUGGGCGAAAGCCUGAUGGAGCAACGCCGCGUGCAGGACGAAGGCCUUCGGGUUGUAAACUGCUUUUAUAAGUGAGGAAUAUGACGGUAACUUAUGAAUAAGGAUCGGCUAACUACGUG